Molecule: long non-coding RNA, 432 nt
Filed under: Nicotiana benthamiana
Lineage: Eukaryota; Viridiplantae; Streptophyta; Magnoliopsida; Solanales; Solanaceae
Description: long non-coding RNA (NBEN_LNC023070)
Source: RNAcentral
CAGUACAACCAAACUGACAUAAUUCUCCACUAACUACAAAAUUGUUCAGUAUCCAUGAAACAUUGUGGGUUACAAUCAAAGUUCAUUACAACAGUACACUCUAUUUCCUCUUUCGUUCCACUUUAGUUCUCUCAUUUUUUGGCGGUGGACCCCUCCUCCUUGAAAGCCUGCCUGUAACCUCGCUCUCACUGAUUGAACUAUCAUUUAGCUUCUUUGUGGCGUAGUCCCACAACAGAGCUCCAUAGCGUCUACGGUGUUUGUUAAUAUCAUUAAGAUCCUCCUUUGGUAUAGACAAAUCACCAUUGCUAAUAUAUUCCGCAAAUACAGCCACAAAUACACCGCAAUCCCUGCAGAUUAUGAGUAAUUUUAAUUAAAUACCAAAAAACAAAUAAAUUUUAAUUAAACAUAUAGAAAGGGAGUUUAGUUUUUUAC